AGUGAACGCUGGCGGCGUGCUUAACACAUGCAAGUCGAACGAGAACGGAAUAUAGCUUGCUAUAUUUGUCAGCUAAGUGGCGCACGGGUGAGUAAUGUAUAGAUAACCUGCCCUUAAGAAAGGAUUAACAGUUGGAAACGACUGCUAAUGCCCUAUAUGCCUUUAAUACAUAAGUAUGCAAGGGAAACGCUUUAGUGCUUAAGGAUGGGUCUGUAUGGUAUCAGCUUGUUGGUGAGGUAAUGGCUCACCAAGGCUAUGACGCCUAACUGGUUUGAGAGGAUGAUCAGUCACACUGGAACGGAGACACGGUCCAGACUCCUACGGGAGACAGCAGUGGGGAAUAUUGCACAAUGGACGAAAGUCUGAUGCAGCAACGCCGCGUGGAGGAUGACACAUUUCGGUGCGUAAACUCCUUUUAUAUAGGAAGAUAAUGACGGUACUAUAUGAAUAAGCACCGGCUAACUCCGUGCCAGCCGCCGCGGUAA
RNAcentral lists this ribosomal RNA (485 nucleotides) under uncultured bacterium. RNAcentral's name for it is "partial 16S ribosomal RNA". It matches the Rfam family "Bacterial small subunit ribosomal RNA", at positions 29 to 523 of the family's 1533-position model. The record is from RNAcentral.